Molecule: ribosomal RNA, 432 nt
Filed under: uncultured bacterium
Lineage: Bacteria
Description: partial 16S ribosomal RNA
Rfam family: Bacterial small subunit ribosomal RNA
Source: RNAcentral
AACGAACGCUGGCGGCAGGCUUAACACAUGCAAGUCGAACGGAUCCUUCGGGAUUAGUGGCAGACGGGUGAGUAACGCGUGGGAACGUACCCUUUGCUACGGAAUAACUCAGGGAAACUUGAGCUAAUACCGUAUGUGCCCUACGGGGGAAAGAUUUAUCGGCAAAGGAUCGGCCCGCGUUGGAUUAGCUAGUUGGUGGGGUAAUGGCCUACCAAGGCGACGAUCCAUAGCUGGUCUGAGAGGAUGAUCAGCCACACUGGGACUGAGACACGGCCCAGACUCCUACGGGAGGCAGCAGUGGGGAAUAUUGGACAAUGGGCGCAAGCCUGAUCCAGCCAUGCCGCGUGAGUGAUGAAGGUCUUAGGAUUGUAAAGCUCUUUCACCGGUGAAGAUAAGGACGGGAGCCGGAGAAGAAGCCCCGGCUAACUUCGU